GGAGAGGCCCCUAGGGAGACAACUUCGCGGGAAAAUCUGUCAUAGGGCAUUGGUCGGUUUCCAUAGCAACAGCGGAAAGAAAUUAAUGACCAAGUCAUUGAAUUGGGAGUAAUCUAACUUUUGGACUCACUAGAAGUCUAGAAGGACUGCAUCUCACAAACUGUCGCUCAUAAGAUGACAUACAGUAGUCUUUUAAGCAGCAGUUGGCUCAGGAUGCUAACUGCUGUCACCCCCCCUCCAUCUUUUUCCAACUGACGCUGAGGCAGACGGAGAAGUAUCGUCCACCCUGUUGCUGUGCUGCCGGGGGGUCCACACAGCCCCCCUCCAUGUGCUUCAUAUAACUUCCUCCCUAGCAAACGUUAAUGAUUAUACUCGUGGGGACGGUUUUUUGUGACUUGUCCGAUAACUGCGGUUUGAACAACAUUGAGCAGAUAACAGCCGGAGCUGAGCCCGCUACAGAGUCAGUCCGACCACCACCACCACCCGGGGAGGAGCAGAGAACCACAGACGCGAAGCGCGCCAAUGCAUGGAAACGUGGAGGCGGGGUUUUGCCAGAGGAAGCACAUUUUGGCGUCCGGUUCGGCCCACGUGUUUUUUUGGGUCUGUUUUUGUUUUUAAAACUCUGGCUCCCUCAUGUGGAGCGGGGGAAAAUUACACCACUCAGAAUGAGUUGGGGAUAUAUUCGUGGUUCUCUUGAUUGUUUAUUCUGUGUCAUAUCUCAAUUUAUAUUUCGUAUUUUGCGAAUUUAACAUGAUCAUCAUUUUUUUGACUUGUAUUGCAUAUCCAUGUACAUGCACAUAUGCACCCAUAUCCCAAUAACCUUAAUUAACUAAUUUUGAGUAGUGUACUCACUCAAAGCCUCUUCUAUAAGACAGCAAAAUAAUAUUUAGUGGCCUUUCACGCACAAAAUGGCCUGUAAACCUUAACUUUCAUUUCCAUGCACAUGCACCCACAUCCCAAAAUCCCUAGCUAAUUUUGAGUGGUGUGUAUUUUCAACUCCUGUCUGCAAUAUGACUAUUGUUACCACUAUUUAUAACCUAUAAUUAGCACACCUGUGUUUACUGGGAGUUUGCCAGAAUACAUGCCAAAGAAGGGGGUCUUGCCCGAAAUGUCUGUGUGGCAAGAAUAAACAGUUUGAUCAGA
Long non-coding RNA from Acanthopagrus latus (yellowfin seabream), 1143 nucleotides. RefSeq lists it as uncharacterized. The record is from RefSeq and is a predicted model, not a curated record. NCBI's taxonomy places the organism in Eukaryota, Metazoa, Chordata, Actinopteri, Spariformes, Sparidae. The transcript is spliced from 3 exons.